UACGAAGGGGGCUAGCGUUGCUCGGAAUCACUGGGCGUAAAGGGUGCGUAGGCGGGUUUUUAAGUCAGGGGUGAAAUCCUGGAGCUCAACUCCAGAACUGCCUUUGAUACUGAAGAUCUUGAGUCCGGGAGAGGUGAGUGGAACUGCGAGUGUAGAGGUGAAAUUCGUAGAUAUUCGCAAGAACACCAGUGGCGAAGGCGGCUCACUGGCCCGUAACUGACGCUGAGGUGCGAAAGCGUGGGGAGCAAACAGG
RNAcentral lists this ribosomal RNA (253 nucleotides) under uncultured bacterium. RNAcentral describes it as "partial 16S ribosomal RNA". It matches the Rfam family "Bacterial small subunit ribosomal RNA", at positions 524 to 776 of the family's 1533-position model. The record is from RNAcentral.